AGUGUGUUGGUCACCGCUUGUCACCGUUAUACUGCAGGUCAUGUAUUGUUUAGUGUCUUUGCUGGCAUGCAUCUAACAUUGUUUUAUUUACAUGCUAAAAUCGCCACUGUGUCAACGACACUUUUAACAAAAUUAUUUGGGGAGUUUUUGUUGUUGCUGAACAUUUCCGAUAUUCCGUAACCCGGAAGUACUUUUGUUUUGUAACGUCGCUGGUAAAGAAACCGAUCAACACUUCAAAACGUUUUUCCUUCUUUCUCGUAAAAAUGGUCAACGACUAAGAUUAAUAAUCGUAAUCGGCAAUGUCUGAACUAGUGAGACUGCUGUCGUCUUCUCCCAACACUGACCUGUCUACUGGGAUGGCCUCUGCACCACCACUACUGCAGCAGCCUGCUGCUGCCAACACAACCCAAGGUCAGAGAAUAACAUGCACGUUAUAUGGUUGCCAUCGUGUCUACACGGACACAGACAGCCUGGCCAAACACAUCAAGGACCACCAGAAUCACAUCCCUACUCAGUCCCUCCCAGGUAAAGUUUUCCUCUGCUCCUCUAUCGGCUGCAACGGCUCCUUUCCCAGCAUGCAACAUCUGAUGGAACACAUGAGACAGCACCACAAACCCAACACGUACUUCCUGUGUCAGAGUUGUCGGUCCAAGCUGCGCUCCUACCGUGCCCUCCUCAAACAUCUCCACACCUGCGCUAAGGUGGCUAAGAGCAAGGCCAAGGCUGGCGAGCAGGCAGAGGUCAUGCCUGACCCUGACCCCGACGCUGCCGUUCCCAUGGCUACAGACCAGGAGACCCCACAGCAGCAAGAGCCCAUGGAGUCCGAGCCCUCUCACCCUAUCCCUGGGUCCACUGGGUCUGAACAUCUCUCUGCCCUGGCUCCCUCCCCUUACCAGCCCCCGGAGGAUGGAUCUCUCCUCGGCCUGGACCUCAACUCGGCCUUGCUCCCUGGGGCUUCCUCCCUCCAGGAGGGAGGUGUUGGUGGUGGUGGAUUGUCAGUCGCCCAGCCCCCAAGCCUCACAGAGCAGCUCCCCGAGGGAUCUUUCGGUUCCUUCUCACAGUACCUUCAAUCUCCACUGGAAGUUUCUGGAUCGGCGCUACAGCAACAGAGAUCUCCCAGGCCCGUCCCUUCUGCUCUAGCUUCCUCUACGCCACCCCAAACCUCCACCGCGCCCGUCUCGAACGCUCGCUGGAGGAAGAAUCAAGACGCUCCUCUAAGUCACAGAUGGGCCUCUCCUCCAGCCAGUCACAGGUUAUCUAGAGAUGGAGCACAGGUCAAUCCUUCAACGGCCGUAUUCUAUGGAAACACACCAAGGGGCGCUACAGCUGUGUCCAGUGUGGCCACUCCACCCCAAACAGGAAGGAGAUGACUGCCCACAUCAAGGGCCAACACAAGAGCCCUGCUGCCAGGCCUGGUAACGACACGGACGGCCAUGUGCCCUCUUCACAGACUAAAGUGUCUUCAGCUACGGAGGCCAACACCUACACCUGUCUCUGACUCCACGCCCACACGAGAGAGGACCGUUCAAUAAUAUGGCGUUAGUGGAACUAGUUUCAUCACCUUUUUUUUUUAUUUUCCUGUGAAAAGUGAUUCAUUUCAAUAAACAUAAUUAAACUUGA
Salmo salar (Atlantic salmon) is the source of this 1620-nucleotide RNA transcript. It is a transcript of the gene named zinc finger protein 414, with no coding region annotated. NCBI's taxonomy places the organism in Eukaryota, Metazoa, Chordata, Actinopteri, Salmoniformes, Salmonidae. The record is from RefSeq and is a predicted model, not a curated record.